RNAcentral lists this long non-coding RNA (318 nucleotides) under Fukomys damarensis (Damara mole-rat). RNAcentral describes it as "lncRNA (ENSFDAG00000028676.1)". The record is from RNAcentral. Lineage: Eukaryota; Metazoa; Chordata; Mammalia; Rodentia; Bathyergidae.
CACAAUUCAGAAGCAGUUCUGGAAGUCUUUCACAUCUUUAGUUGUACUGCCGUGAUUGCCUCGAUGUCCCAAACUGAUCUACAAUGUUUAUCUUUCAUGGUCAUUUUGACUUUGAAGAUGAGCCAGAAGUGUCAGAGUACCAGCUGGAUGAGGACACAUCACAAUGUUUCCAUGAGCUUACCUUUCUCCUGGAUGGCACUUGCCACAGCAGUCACUGUAUGUUUUAUCACAACUCAGAAGACACUCCCGAAAAAGGAUUUCCAGAACUGCUUCAGAAAGACACAAAAUUUGCUAAGGCUGGGAAUAUGAGAAUCAUCA